This 440-nucleotide ribosomal RNA is filed under the name uncultured bacterium. RNAcentral describes it as "partial 16S ribosomal RNA". It matches the Rfam family "Bacterial small subunit ribosomal RNA", at positions 338 to 795 of the family's 1533-position model. The record is from RNAcentral.
CCUACGGGUGGCAGCAGUGGGGGAUAUUGCACAAUGGGGGAAACCCUGAUGCAGCGACGCCGCGUGUGGGAAGACGGUCCUCUGGAUUGUAAACCACUGUCCCCAGGGACGAAGAUGACGGUACCUGGGGAGGAAGCUCCGGCUAACUACGUGCCAGCAGCCGCGGUAAUACGUAGGGAGCGAGCGUUGUCCGGAAUUACUGGGUGUAAAGGGAGCGUAGGCGGGACUGCAAGUUGGGUGUCAAAUCUACCGGCUCAACCGGUAGCCGCACUCAAAACUGCAGUUCUUGAGUGAAGUAGAGGCAGGCGGAAUUCGUAGUGUAGCGGUGAAAUGCGUAGAUAUUAGGAGGAACACCAGUGGCGAAGGCGGCCUGCUGGGCUUUUACUGACGCUGAGGCUCGAAAGUGUGGGGAGCGAACAGGAUUAGAUACCCCAGUAGUC